RNAcentral lists this ribosomal RNA (253 nucleotides) under uncultured bacterium. RNAcentral's name for it is "partial 16S ribosomal RNA". It matches the Rfam family "Bacterial small subunit ribosomal RNA", at positions 524 to 776 of the family's 1533-position model. The record is from RNAcentral.
UACAGAGGAGGCAAGCGUUAUUCGGAAUUAUUGGGCGUAAAGGGCGCGUAGGCGGCCUGGCAAGUGGAAGGUGAAAUCCCUCGGCUUAACCGAGGAACUGCCCUCCAAACUGCUUGGCUUGAGUCCGGGAGAGGUGAGUGGAAUUCCCAGUGUAGCGGUGAAAUUCGUAGAUAUCGAGAGGAACACCGGUGGCGAAGGCGGCUUUCUGGACAGUGACUGACGCUGAGACGCGAAAGCGUGGGGAGCAAACAGG